UAGGGAAUCUUCGGCAAUGGACGAAAGUCUGACCGAGCAACGCCGCGUGAGUGAAGAAGGUUUUCGGAUCGUAAAACUCUGUUGUUAGAGAAGAACAAGGACGUUAGUAACUGAACGUCCCCUGACGGUAUCUAACCAGAAAGCCACGGCUAACUACGUGCCAGCAGCCGCGGUAAUUCGUAGGUGGCAAGCGUUGUCCGGAUUUAUUGGGCGUAAAGCGAGCGCAGGCGGUUUCUUAAGUCUGAUGUGAAAGCCCCCGGCUCAACCGGGGAGGGUCAUUGGAAACUGGGAGACUUGUCUGCAGAAGAGGAGAGUGGAAUUCCAUGUGUAGCGGUGAAAUGCGUAGAUAUAUGGGGGAACACCAGUGGCUAAGGCGGCUCUCUGGUCUGUAACUGACGCUGAGGCUCGAAAGCGUGGGGAGCAAACAGG
RNAcentral lists this ribosomal RNA (429 nucleotides) under Gemmatimonadota bacterium. RNAcentral describes it as "Gemmatimonadetes bacterium partial 16S ribosomal RNA". It matches the Rfam family "Bacterial small subunit ribosomal RNA", at positions 355 to 776 of the family's 1533-position model. Lineage: Bacteria; Pseudomonadati; Gemmatimonadota. The record is from RNAcentral.